AACUGCAGAUGGCUCAUUACAACAGUUAUAGUUUAUUUGACAAUGUUGUACACGGAUAACCAUAGUAACUCUAUGGCUAAUACGUGAUAAAGCUUCUUACGAAGCGCGCAUAUUAGUUUAAAACCAAAUUUUGGUUGAACUAUAAUAUUUGUCGGAUCGUGCUGGCCUUGCCAUCGACAUGUCAUUCAAAUUUCUGCCCUAUCAGCUUGACGGUAGGUUAUUGGCCUACCGUGGCUCUGACGGGUAACGGAGAAUCGGGGUUCGGCUCCGGAGAGGCAGCCUGAGAAACGGCUACCACAUCCACGGAAGGCAGCAGGUGCGCAAAUUACCCAAUUCUGACUCAGAGAGGUAGUGACAAGAAAUAACGGUCGGCAGCCUUAGGUUGCUUUUCCGGAAUGAGGACAAUGUAAAAAAAUUACCGAUUAACAAGUGGAGGGCAAGCCUGGUGCCAGCAGCCGCGGUAAUACCAGCUCCACUAGCGUAUACUAAAGUUGUUGCUGUUAAAAAGCUCGUAGUUGGAUAUCAGUUUUUGGUGGAUGACCCUGUCGGAAUACGACUGCGAGUCAUAUCAGUUUACGCUGUCACCAAUAACUUAAUUCAGGAGAGCCUGUCUGUCCAUUUACUUGGUUGGGCAGGCGCGUCCUGAUCUUUUACUUUGAGAAAAUAAAAGUGCUCAAAGCAGGCAUUUGCCUGAAUUCAUUAGCAUGGAAUAAUAAAACAUGACUUUGGUCUUUAGGGGUUUCCCUAAGUGUUUUAUUGGUUUUGGGCUGAAGUAAUGAUUGAUAGGAACAAUUGGGGGUGCUAGUAUCGCCGGGCUAGAGGUAAAAUUCUUUGAUUCCGGUGAGACUAACUUAUGCGAAAGCAUUCACCAAGUAUGUUUUCUUUAAUCAAGAACUAAAGUUGAGGGAUCGAAAACGAUCAGAUACCGUUGUAGUCUCAACUAUAAACCAUGUCAACUAAGCAUUGGGCAAGUAUAGACUUCCUCAGAACUUUGCGAGAAAUCAAAGUUUUCGGACUCAGGGGGAAGUAUGCUCGCAAGAGUGAAACUUAAAGGAAUUGACGGAAAGGCACCACCAGGUGUGGAGCCUGCGGCUUAAUUUGACUCAACACGGGAAAACUUACCAGGUCCAGACAUAGUAAGGAUUGACAGAUUGAAGUUCUUUCAUGAUUCUAUGCAUGGUGGUGCAUGGCCGUUCUUAGUAGGUGGAGUGAUUUGUCUGGUUAAUUCCGAUAACGUACGAGACCUCAGCCAUCUAAAUAGCUGUAGCUAACUUGUUAGCGAAGACUAACGUCAUAACAGCUUCUUAGAGGGACAAUCUGUGUUUAACAGAAGGAGGAUUGAGGCAAUAACAGGUCAGUGAUGCCCUUAGAUGAUCUGGGCUGCACGCGCGCUACAAUGGUUCACUCAAAAAGUUUAACCUAUCCUGAAAAGGCUGGGUAAUCUUUAAAAUGAAUCUAAGUUGGGAUAGAUGAUUGCAAUUGUUCAUCUUGAACAAGGAAUAUCUAGUAAACGCAAGUCAUCAACUUGCAUUGAUUACGUCCCUGCCCUUUGUACACACCGCCCGUCGCUUCUACCGAUUGAAUAAUCCGGUGAAUUGAGUGGAUAAACAGGUAGCUUCGGCAUGCCAUGUUUAAAAGCUCUGUGAACCAAAUUAUUUAGAGGCAGGACAAGUCGUAACAAGGUUUCC
RNAcentral lists this ribosomal RNA (1688 nucleotides) under Haplosporidium carcini. RNAcentral's name for it is "SSU rRNA". It matches the Rfam family "Eukaryotic small subunit ribosomal RNA". The record is from RNAcentral. Lineage: Eukaryota; Endomyxa; Ascetosporea; Haplosporida; Haplosporidiidae.